UCUAAACGACUCUCGGCAACGGAUAUCUCGGCUCUCGCAUCGAUGAAGAACGUAGCGAAAUGCGAUACUUGGUGUGAAUUGCAGAAUCUCGUGAACCAUCGAGUCUUUGAACGCAAGUUGCGCCCGAAGCCAUUAGGUUGAGGGCACGCCUGCCUGGGCGUCUC
Molecule: ribosomal RNA, 164 nt
Filed under: Digitalis canariensis
Lineage: Eukaryota; Viridiplantae; Streptophyta; Magnoliopsida; Lamiales; Plantaginaceae
Description: 5.8S ribosomal RNA
Rfam family: 5.8S ribosomal RNA
About the family: 5.8S ribosomal RNA (5.8S rRNA) is a component of the large subunit of the eukaryotic ribosome. It is transcribed by RNA polymerase I as part of the 45S precursor that also contains 18S and 28S rRNA.
Source: RNAcentral